UUUGUCUGGCCCAUUUUAUGUUUGUUUUUGCCUUUCUUUUAAUAGUGUGUUUCUAUUUCCAUCUUCACAGGUCCCCACUCCGAGCUGAGCGCUACCUCAGACAUACCUCUGGCCUUCAUGAACAGGAUGUCCUUUAACCAACCCCGUGAGUGCUGAACCACUGCGUAGGGGGAUGGCCCCAAAUUAGGUCAGUCACAGGUCCAGAGAGCGGAUCCGGGAGGAGUUCAUAUGGACUUACAGCUGUUCGGUGUUCCUCUUCUCCCUUCUUCCUUCUUCCAAGCCACCCCCUGCCCCGUCCUGCCCCUGACCACCCACUGCUUCCUCCCCCAGCUCUGAAAUCUGGACUCCUCCAGCUUCCUUUCUCUCCAGCCUCAGACCUCCCCGCUCCCCACCGCAGUCCCCGGCUGGUCAGGACCAGCUGCUCAGAAGAAAGCCGGUCUCUCAGCUGCCCCAGGCCAUUCCCACAGCAGCUCGGAUGGUGGGUCGGGAGGCCGUGCCGUUCCCCGCUGGAACUCUGUCAAGUGGAGCACCCAGCUGUAUGAAGGACAAUAAUCUCUCCCGA
RNAcentral lists this long non-coding RNA (562 nucleotides) under Ursus maritimus (polar bear). RNAcentral describes it as "lncRNA (ENSUMAG00000004635.1)". The record is from RNAcentral. Lineage: Eukaryota; Metazoa; Chordata; Mammalia; Carnivora; Ursidae.